AGGAUGAACGCUGGCGGUCUGCUUAACACAUGCAAGUCGAACGGAGUACCUCGGUACUUAGUGGCGGACGGGUGAGUAACGCGUGAGAAUCUGCCCUUAGGUCGGGGACAACCAUUGGAAACGAUGGCUAAAUACCGGAUAAGCCGAGAGGUAAAAGAUUAAUUGCCUAGGGAAGAGCUCGCGUCUGAUUAGCUAGUUGGUGAGGUAAAGGCUCACCAAGGCAUCGAUCAGUAGCUGGUCUGAGAGGAUGAUCAGCCACACUGGGACUGAGACACGGCCCAGACUCCUACGGGAGGCAGCAGUGGGGAAUUUUCCGCAAUGGGCGAAAGCCUGACGGAGCAAGACCGCGUGAGGGAGGAAGGCUCUUGGGUUGUAAACCUCUUUUCUUGGGAAGAACAAAUGACGGUACCAAGGAAUCAGCAUCGGCUAACUCCGCGCCAGCAGCCGC
Molecule: ribosomal RNA, 448 nt
Filed under: uncultured bacterium
Lineage: Bacteria
Description: SSU rRNA
Rfam family: Bacterial small subunit ribosomal RNA
Source: RNAcentral